This 443-nucleotide ribosomal RNA is filed under the name uncultured bacterium. RNAcentral's name for it is "partial 16S ribosomal RNA". It matches the Rfam family "Bacterial small subunit ribosomal RNA", at positions 338 to 795 of the family's 1533-position model. The record is from RNAcentral.
CCUACGGGAGGCAGCAGUGGGGAAUAUUGGGCAAUGGGCGCAAGCCUGACCCAGCAACGCCGCGUGAAGGAAGAAGGCUCUCGGGUUGUAAACUUCUUUUAUCAGGGACGAAGCAAGUGACGGUACCUGAUGAAUAAGCCACGGCUAACUACGUGCCAGCAGCCGCGGUAAUACGUAGGUGGCAAGCGUUAUCCGGAUUUACUGGGUGUAAAGGGCGUGUAGGCGGGAAAGCAAGUCAGAUGUGAAAACCAUGGGCUCAACCUGGGACCUGCACUUGAAACUGUUUUUCGUGAGUACUGGAGAGGCAGACGGAAUUCCUAGUGUAGCGGUGAAAUGCGUAGAUAUUAGGAAGAACACCAGUGGCGAAGGCAGUCUGCUGGACAGCAACUGACGCUGAGGCGCGAAAGCGUGGGGAGCAAACAGGAUUAGAUACCCCAGUAGUC